CAAAACCUGCCUUAAGGAUGGGGAUAACAGACGGAAACGACUGCUAAUACCGAAUACGUUCUAAGCAUCGCAUGAUGCAUAGAAGAAAGGGUGGCCUCUACAAGAAAGCUAUCGCCUUAAGAGGGGUUUGCGACUGAUUAGGUAGUUGGUGAGGUAACGGCUCACCAAGCCGACGAUCAGUAGCCGGUCUGAGAGGAUGAACGGCCACACUGGAACUGAGACACGGUCCAG
This 231-nucleotide ribosomal RNA is filed under the name uncultured bacterium. RNAcentral describes it as "partial 16S ribosomal RNA". It matches the Rfam family "Bacterial small subunit ribosomal RNA", at positions 118 to 334 of the family's 1533-position model. The record is from RNAcentral.